RNAcentral lists this ribosomal RNA (617 nucleotides) under Cytospora schulzeri. Its description in RNAcentral is "eukaryotic LSU rRNA". It matches the Rfam family "Eukaryotic large subunit ribosomal RNA", at positions 33 to 664 of the family's 3401-position model. Lineage: Eukaryota; Fungi; Ascomycota; Sordariomycetes; Diaporthales; Cytosporaceae. The record is from RNAcentral.
UUGGCAUAUUUUCAAAAGCGGAGGAAAAGAAACCAACAGGGAUUGCCCUAGUAACGGCGAGUGAAGCGGCAACAGCUCAAAUUUGAAAGCUGGCUCCGGCCCGCAUUGUAAUUUGCAGAGGAUGCUUCUGGUGAGGUGCCUUCCGAGUUCCCUGGAACGGGACGCCAUAGAGGGUGAGAGCCCCGUAUGGAUAGACACCAAACCUGUGUGAAGCUCCUUCAACGAGUCGAGUAGUUUGGGAAUGCUGCUCUAAAUGGGAGGUAAAUCUCUUCUAAAGCUAAAUACCGGCCAGAGACCGAUAGCGCACAAGUAGAGUGAUCGAAAGAUGAAAAGCACCUUGAAAAGGGGGUUAAACAGUACGUGAAAUUGUUGAAAGGGAAGCGCUUGUGACCAGACUUGCGCCGGGCAGCUCAUCAGGGGUUCUCCCCUGUGCACUCUGCCCGGCUCAGGCCAGCAUCGGUUCUCGUGGGAGGAUAAGAACGGUAGGAACGUGGCCCCCUUCCGGGGGGGUGUUAUAGCCUACCGUACGAUACUCCCGUGGGGACCGAGGUUCGCGCUCCGCAAGGAUGCUGGCGUAAUGGUCAUCAGCGACCCGUCUUGAACCACGCGGGACCAAA